UACGUAGGGUGCAAGCGUUAAUCGGAAUUACUGGGCGUAAAGCGUGCGCAGGCGGUGAUGUAAGACAGGUGUGAAAUCCCCGGGCUUAACCUGGGAACUGCAUUUGUGACUGCAUAGCUAGAGUACGGUAGAGGGGGGAUGGAAUUCCGCGUGUAGCAGUGAAAUGCGUAGAUAUGCGGAGGAACACCGAUGGCGAAGGCAAUCCCCUGGACCUGUACUGACGCUCAUGCACGAAAGCGUGGGGAGCAAACAGG
Molecule: ribosomal RNA, 254 nt
Filed under: uncultured bacterium
Lineage: Bacteria
Description: partial 16S ribosomal RNA
Rfam family: Bacterial small subunit ribosomal RNA
Source: RNAcentral